RNAcentral lists this non-coding RNA (747 nucleotides) under Pan troglodytes (chimpanzee). Lineage: Eukaryota; Metazoa; Chordata; Mammalia; Primates; Hominidae. The record is from RNAcentral.
AGAUCCUAGGAAAGGAAACUGGGAGCCCGGGAGAACUAAAAUUCCCAAUUAAAAGUGAAUUUAAAUCUGAGCUGUUCUUAGACCCAGAAUUUCUUGCCUGAAGGAGGAGUCAGGUCCCCACAAGGAAAGACCCUGCAACUGUAUAAAAAAAGAAUCUAAAAAGAUCAUGACUCCUUCAGUCCUUUCCCAAAGAGACCUAUGGAAAUUUCCUCAGGAAGAGGGACCAAGCAAAACCCCAGAAGAGUUGAUCUCAAAGCUUAUUUUAUGAAGAAAAUUGACCUGAGUGACACAAAGGGUUGGACUGUAGUAGAUGUCACGUUUUGCUGCCUAGAUCUCCAUCCAGGGAUGAACUCUUACUUCCUCAGCUUCUUUGUCUCCUCAGCUUCUGGGAGGGUUGGCAGCUGAUAUUCUCACCUGAGUCCCUUUCUAGGACUUGCCCUUGCCUGAAGAGAGCUGUGCUGCCCAACAUGAUGCCUCCUCCAAGGUACAAUCCACACCCAGUGACUAAUAAACAGGGGUUACAAAGGCAUGCCUGCUUGCCCCAGUUUGGGACAACUUUACCAGGCCAACCCAGCCUCAAGGCUCUCCGCAGGAACAGGGACCCUGAAAGCUGUGUCUAUGAAGUUAUUACAAGAUAUUGGCUACUGUGGUGCAUGGAGCUUCUAGGCCAGGGUGAUUCUCACACCUGCCUGAUGUGGAUCUUGUUGCUUCACACCUGAAACAUCAUUUGAGAAGCCUGGGAAGCGG